UGAUACCAGAUUAAAGACUCUGCAAUAAAAGUCUGGGCAAUCAAAGUUGGGAGCAUAAAUUUUUAACAGGGCUAAUGGGAGAGAAUUUAUUGUAUCAGUGACAAGCAGAUACCUCCCACCUGGAUCGCAGGUCAUGGAUUUGAAUAAAAAUGGGAUGGUUUUACAGAUAAGUAUAGCAACCCCUCUUGCCUUAGAGCAAAAUGUAGAUUGGUAAACCUGUGAAACCCAGAUAUAUUUCAACUUCCGCUGUUCUGUCGGUCUAAUAUGGGUUUCCUGUAAGAAGAUUAUGUCUGAUGACAGUGACUUUAAAUGAGUGAAUACCUUAGCUCUCUUAAAGGCACUUCCAAGGCCUCUACAGUUCCAAGAGGUUAGUGUGAUAGGACUUACACCUGACCUGGAUGCAGAAUCAUUCUGCAUUUAAAGCAUAAAGAAAACAUAGAGUCGUGGCUGACAUAGCAAA
Thalassophryne amazonica is the source of this 460-nucleotide long non-coding RNA. RefSeq lists it as uncharacterized. The record is from RefSeq and is a predicted model, not a curated record. Lineage: Eukaryota; Metazoa; Chordata; Actinopteri; Batrachoidiformes; Batrachoididae. The transcript has 2 exons.